This 468-nucleotide ribosomal RNA is filed under the name uncultured bacterium. Its description in RNAcentral is "partial 16S ribosomal RNA". It matches the Rfam family "Bacterial small subunit ribosomal RNA", at positions 28 to 507 of the family's 1533-position model. The record is from RNAcentral.
GACGAACGCUGGCGGCGUGCUUAACACAUGCAAGUCGAACGGAAAGGCCCUGCUUUUGUGUGUUUCUCGAGUGGCGAACGGGUGAGUAACACGUGUGUAACCUGCCCCUGACUUUGGGGUAACUUCUGGAAACUGGGGCUAAUACCGGAGAUGAGCUCCUGCUGCAUGGUGGGGGUUGGAAAGUUUCGGCGGUUGGGGAUGGACUCGCGGCUUAUGAGCUUGUUGGUGUGGUAGUGACUGUCGAAGGUUUUGACGGCUAGCCGGCCUUAGAGGGUGAACGGGGACCUUGGGACUACGAUACGGACCAGUCUCCUACGGUGCGCAGUAGUGGGGAAUAUUGCACAGCGGGGGCGAGCCUGAUGCAACAGCCCCCCGAGCGUAAAGACGGCCUUCGGGUUGUAAACCGCUUUAGCCUGAAACGAAGCGUGAGUGACGGUAAUGGGUAAAGAAGCACCGGCUAACUACGUG